ACGCGGAGAGCAGCAGAGAAAUAGAGAAGAGCAACGGAGAACUGGAGAACUGGAGCGUGAGGCCAAACUAAACAGCAGAUCUGUUCCAAAAUCCCAAACCGUCAACAAGCAACUAAUUUCGCAGUCUGUCAGUGUGGGACCACCGAUUUCGAGUUAUUAUAGACAAACAACCGGCGGCGACUAAGCCAAGUCUAUUAACAGAGCAAACAAAGGCAAGCCGCCAAAGGAAGCAGCGGCGGAGGAGUCUCCAGAAUCACCAGAAAGUAUCCAGAAUCGAGGAAAGGAAAAUCCAACAGAAUCCAGCGAAAAGGCAAAAGAAUGUGAGCCAGGAGACAGCCGGCAAUGAGAGGGCCAAAACGA
This is a non-coding RNA of Drosophila kikkawai, 360 nucleotides long. The record is from RefSeq and is a predicted model, not a curated record. Lineage: Eukaryota; Metazoa; Arthropoda; Insecta; Diptera; Drosophilidae.